Molecule: ribosomal RNA, 805 nt
Filed under: uncultured bacterium
Lineage: Bacteria
Description: bacterial SSU rRNA
Rfam family: Bacterial small subunit ribosomal RNA
Source: RNAcentral
AGAGUUUGAUCCUGGCUCAGGAUGAACGCUGGCGGUGUGGAUAAGGCAUGCAAGUCGAGCGGCCCGCCAACAUCUUCUUCGCAAGAAGAAGUUGUGGCGGGUAGCGGCGAACGAGUUAGUAACACGUAGGUACCCACCUCUUACACGAGGAUAACCCCGCGAAAGCGGGGAUAAUACCCGAUGGUCCCUGAAGCCGUAAGGCCGAAGGGUAAAGCCCUGAGUUCAUCGAAGGGCGGUAAGAGAGGGGCCUGCGGCCUAUCAGCUUGUUGGCGAGGUAAUGGCUCACCAAGGCUAUGACGGGUAGGGGGCGUGAGAGCGCGACCCCCAACGAUGGGACUGAGAUACGGCCCAUACUCCUACGGGAGGCAGCAGUCGAGAAUAUUGGACAAUGGGGGAAACCCUGAUCCAGCGACACCGCGUGCGGGAUGAAGGCCUUCGGGUUGUAAACCGCUUUUGUCGCCGAUGAAGUCGCAAGACUGACAGUAGGCGAAGAAUAAGGGGAUGCUAAUUCUAUGCCAGCAGCAGCGGUAAUACAGAAUCCCCGAGCGUUAUCCGGAUUUAUUGGGCGUAAAGCGUCCGCAGACGGUUUGAUAAGUCUUUGGUUAAAGCCCGAGAGCUCAACUUUCGGAAUGCCAAGGAAACUGCCAGACUUGAGGAUGUUAGGGGCUGAUAGAACUCUUGGUGGAGGGGUGAAAUCCGUUGAUAUCAAGAGGAAUACCAAAAGCGAAGGCAUUCAGCUGGGGCAAUCCUGACGUUCAUGGACGAAAGCGUGGGUAGCAAAAAGGAUUAGAUACCCUGGUAGUCC